RNAcentral lists this non-coding RNA (368 nucleotides) under Megaselia scalaris. RNAcentral describes it as "Eukaryotic small subunit ribosomal RNA". It matches the Rfam family "Eukaryotic small subunit ribosomal RNA", at positions 188 to 595 of the family's 1831-position model. Lineage: Eukaryota; Metazoa; Arthropoda; Insecta; Diptera; Phoridae. The record is from Rfam by way of RNAcentral.
UUUAAAAAAAGUAAUGAAUAUAAAAAUUAAUGUAGCUAAUUAUUUUGAACUUUGAACAUGAUCAGUUUUUUUCUUUAUUUUAUAAUAUAAAGUAAUGUAACUAAAAUCGAACAUUAAUGUCUUUCAUUGUAACAUUUUUGAUACAAAAAAAAAAUAACUUAACGGAUAACGUGGAAUCAGGUUCGAUUCCGGAGAAGGAGUCCAAGAAACGGCUACCACGGAAGGCAAAAGGCGAGUAAAUUAACCACUCCCAAUACAGGACUCGUAUCUCAGACCCUGUAAUUGGAAUGAGUACACUUUAGAUCCUUUAACAAGUAAAUAUUGGAGAGCAAGUCUCGUGCCAGCAGCCGCGGUUGUUGCGGUUAAAA